Molecule: ribosomal RNA, 793 nt
Filed under: Boletales sp.
Lineage: Eukaryota; Fungi; Basidiomycota; Agaricomycetes; Boletales
Description: eukaryotic LSU rRNA
Rfam family: 5.8S ribosomal RNA (bases 275-429)
Source: RNAcentral
AGGAUCAUUAUCGAAAGUGAAUCCGGAGGGAGAAGGAAAGGGGGGUUAGAGAUUGUCGCUGGCCUGCGGAAACGGAAGGCAUGUGCACGUCUCGAUCUCUUUUUUUUUUUCCCCCUUCGCGAGCCUUUUCUUCAUACACCCGUGCACCCGUGGUAGGUCCCGCGAGGGAUCUAUGUUUCCAUCUACUCUUUUAAUGUAUGGCCGGAACGUAGUCGGAGCGGCCGUGGGCUCGACAAUGGGCCUUCGUCCGGACGACGGUAAAUAACGAUAAUACAACUUUCAGCAACGGAUCUCUUGGCUCUCGCAUCGAUGAAGAACGCAGCGAAUUGCGAUAUGUAAUGUGAAUUGCAGAUUUUCAGUGAAUCAUCGAAUCUUUGAACGCACCUUGCGCUCCUUGGUAUUCCGAGGAGCAUGCCUGUUCGAGUGUCAUGUAAUUCUCAACCGUUCCCCGAUCGAUUUCGAGGGGGGGAUGGCUUGGAUUUUUGGGGGUUGCCGGCGAAGGUCGGCUCUCCUUAAAAGCAUUAGCGAAAGGUGGCAAGCCUCUGCAUGCAACGGCCUUGGACGUGAUAACGAUCGUCGUGGCUGGAAUGCGAGGCCGUAGAUCCGUCUUUGCUUCUAAUCGAUGACCCCCCUCCAUCUUCGAAAACUUGACCUCGAAUCAGGUAGGACUACCCGCUGAACUUAAGCAUAUCAAUAAGCGGAGGAAAAGAAACUAACAAGGAUUCCCCUAGUAACUGCGAGUGAAGCGGGAAGAGCUCAAAUUUGGAAUCUGGCGGUCUUUCGGCCGUCCGAG